RNAcentral lists this ribosomal RNA (297 nucleotides) under uncultured bacterium. Its description in RNAcentral is "partial 16S ribosomal RNA". It matches the Rfam family "Bacterial small subunit ribosomal RNA", at positions 796 to 1088 of the family's 1533-position model. The record is from RNAcentral.
CUAGCCCUAAACGGUGCACGUUUGCUGUGAGAGGAAUCGACCCCUUUCGUGGCGAAGCUAACGCGUUAAACGUGCCGCCUGGGGAGUACGGUCGCAAGAUUAAAACUCAAAGAAAUUGACGGGGGCCUGCACAAGCGGUGGAGUAUGUGGCUUAAUUCGAUGCAACGCGAAGAACCUUACCUGGCCUUGACAUGUAGGUAGUAAAAGCCUGAAAGGGUGAUGACCCCGCAAGGGGAGCCUACACAGGUGCUGCAUGGCUGUCGUCAGCUCGUGUCGUGAGAUGUUGGGUUAAUUCCC